UCACCCUAACUUACUCCGAGUUCAAGAAUUUCUUGUUUAGGGUGCGGAGGUAGAAUCGGGGUGGAGGAAUAUUUAGUUGAGUUUAGUAAACUGAUCUGAUAAACAAAACUGCACGUGCAGGGAAGGCUUGGUUUCCUGGGUUGCAUUCUGGAAUAAAAGCACAUACAGAGGGCACAUGCGGGGAGAGCGUCGCACGUUCAGCCAAGGGCCGGCAUGUGCAGAAAUGUCUUAUUCAACUUUGAAUUUCAGACCACCUUUUAUAAAAUCUGAUUUCAUCUCCCUCUCUCAUCACUUUUCUCAUUCAUCUCCCUCUCUAUACUCAUCCUUUCUCUCAUCCCUCUUUACAAACACAAACACAACCACUUUCAACUUCUCUCUUAGAUUUCUUAAAAACUAUGAAGAUUUAGAUAGGUGUCCUUGAGGCAUUUUUGGAGAGCUCAUCAAUAGCUUCAUUUUGUACAGUGGAGAUCGUAUUCCGAUGAAGUCAAUUUUUAGGGCUUUUCAUUCGUCUCUUUUCUUGGGUUUGAGGAAAAAAUGUUGUGAACUUGCCGAGGUAGAGAUGUAUAGAAUUGUUUUGGGAGCACGAGGCUUUUAUCUUUUGUUGUUCUAUUUUGAUAAGCCAAGGGCUAUAUUUGUAUAGGUUAGAAAACUAUUGAUCUGUAACCGGGCUUAAGCCUCGGGAACAUGUGGCCCGUUAGGGCAUUAUUUUGUAUUUUAAUUUCUGUUGAA
Molecule: long non-coding RNA, 729 nt
Organism: Camellia sinensis
Lineage: Eukaryota; Viridiplantae; Streptophyta; Magnoliopsida; Ericales; Theaceae
Source: RefSeq, a predicted model, not a curated record